CCUACGGGAGGCAGCAGUGAGGAAUAUUUGUCAAUGGACGAGAGUCUGAACCAGCCAAGUCGCGUGAAGGAUGACUGCCCUAUGGGUUGUAAACUUCUUUUAUAUGGGAAUAAAACGUUCCACGUGUGGGAUUUUGUAUGUACCUUAUGAAUAAGGAUCGGCUAACUCCGUCCCAGCAGCCGCGGUAAUACGGAGGGUCCGAGCGUUCUCCGGAUUUGUUGGGUUUAAAGGGAGCGUAGGUGGAUUGUUAAGUCAGUUGUGAAAGUUUGCGGAUCAACCGUAAAAUUGCAGUUGAAACUGGCAGUCUUGAGUACAGUAGAGGUGGGCGGAAUUCGUGGUGUAGCGGUGAAAUGCUUAGAUAUCACGAAGAACACCGAUUGCGAAGGCAGUUAACUGGACUGCAACUGACACUGAGGCUCGAAAGUGUGGGGAUCAAACAGGAUUAGAUACCCUAGUAGUC
Molecule: ribosomal RNA, 460 nt
Filed under: uncultured bacterium
Lineage: Bacteria
Description: partial 16S ribosomal RNA
Rfam family: Bacterial small subunit ribosomal RNA
Source: RNAcentral